RNAcentral lists this ribosomal RNA (197 nucleotides) under uncultured bacterium. RNAcentral describes it as "partial 16S ribosomal RNA". It matches the Rfam family "Bacterial small subunit ribosomal RNA", at positions 681 to 878 of the family's 1533-position model. The record is from RNAcentral.
GUGAAAUUNGUAGAUAUUGGGAAGAACACCGUGGCGAAGGCGGUCUCUGGGCAUGACCUGACGCUGAGGAGCGAAAGUGUGGGGAGCGAACAGGAUUAGAUACCCUGGUAGUUCCACACCCUAAACGUUGGGCGCUAGGUGUGGGAUCCAUUCCACGGGUUCCGUGCCGCAGCUAACGCAUAAGCGCCCCGCUGGGA